GUGGGGAAUAUUGGACAAUGGGCGAAAGCCUGAUCCAGCCAUGCCGCGUGUGUGAAGAAGGUCUUCGGAUUGUAAAGCACUUUAAGUUGGGAGGAAGGGCAGUAAGUUAAUACCUUGCUGUUUUGACGUUACCGACAGAAUAAGCACCGGCUAACUUCGUGCCAGCAGCCGCGGUAAUACGAAGGGUGCAAGCGUUAAUCGGAAUUACUGGGCGUAAAGCGUGCGUAGGUGGUUUUGUAAGUUGGAGGUGAAAUCCCCGGGCUCAACCUGGGAACUGCCUCAAAAACUGCAUGACUAGAGUACGGUAGAGGGUAGUGGAAUUUCCUGUGUAGCGGUGAAAUGCGUAGAUAUAGGAAGGAACACCAGUGGCGAAGGCGACUACCUGGACUGAUACUGACACUGAGGUGCGAAAGCGUGGGGAGCAAACAGGAUUAGAUACCCGUGUAGUCC
Molecule: ribosomal RNA, 450 nt
Filed under: uncultured bacterium
Lineage: Bacteria
Description: partial 16S ribosomal RNA
Rfam family: Bacterial small subunit ribosomal RNA
Source: RNAcentral